Molecule: ribosomal RNA, 1783 nt
Filed under: Paraphaeosphaeria sporulosa
Lineage: Eukaryota; Fungi; Ascomycota; Dothideomycetes; Pleosporales; Didymosphaeriaceae
Description: eukaryotic LSU rRNA
Rfam family: Eukaryotic large subunit ribosomal RNA (bases 551-1783)
Source: RNAcentral
AACAAGGUUUCCGUAGGUGAACCUGCGGAAGGAUCAUUAUCCAUCUCAACCAGGUGCGGUCGCGGCCCUCGGGGGUUCUCUCCCGGGUGGUAGGGGUAACACCCUCACGCGCCGCAUUCCUGCAUCCUUUUUUUACGAGCACCUUUCGUUCUCCUUCGGCGGGGCAACCUGCCGCUGGAACUUAACAAAACCUUUUUUGCAUCUAGCAUUACCUGUUCUGAUACAAACAAUCGUUACAACUUUCAACAAUGGAUCUCUUGGCUCUGGCAUCGAUGAAGAACGCAGCGAAAUGCGAUAAGUAGUGUGAAUUGCAGAAUUCAGUGAAUCAUCGAAUCUUUGAACGCACAUUGCGCCCCUUGGUAUUCCAUGGGGCAUGCCUGUUCGAGCGUCAUCUACACCCUCAAGCUCUGCUUGGUGUUGGGCGUCUGUCCCGCCUUCGCGCGCGGACUCGCCCCAAAUUCAUUGGCAGCGGUCCUUGCCUCCUCUCGCGCAGCACAAUUGCGUCUGCGGGGGGGCGUGGCCCGCGUCCACGAAGCAACAUUACCGUCUUUGACCUCGGAUCAGGUAGGGAUACCCGCUGAACUUAAGCAUAUCAAUAAGCGGAGGAAAAGAAACCAACAGGGAUUGCCCUAGUAACGGCGAGUGAAGCGGCAACAGCUCAAAUUUGAAAUCUGGCUCUCUUUGGGGGUCCGAGUUGUAAUUUGCAGAGGAUGCUUUGGCAUUGGCGGCGGUCUAAGUUCCUUGGAACAGGACAUCACAGAGGGUGAGAAUCCCGUACGUGGUCGCCUGCCUUUGCCGUGUAAAGCUCCUUCGACGAGUCGAGUUGUUUGGGAAUGCAGCUCUAAAUGGGAGGUAAAUUUCUUCUAAAGCUAAAUACUGGCCAGAGACCGAUAGCGCACAAGUAGAGUGAUCGAAAGAUGAAAAGUACUUUGGAAAGAGAGUCAAAAAGCACGUGAAAUUGUUGAAAGGGAAGCGCUUGCAGCCAGACUUGCCCGCAGUUGCUCACCUAGGCUUUGGCCUGGGGCACUCUUCUGCGGGCAGGCCAGCAUCAGUUUGGGCGGUUGGAUAAAGGCCUCUGUCACGUAUCUCCCUUCGGGGUGACCUUAUAGGGGAGGCGCAAUGCAACCAGCCCGGACUGAGGUCCGCGCAUCUGCUAGGAUGCUGGCGUAAUGGCUGUAAGCGGCCCGUCUUGAAACACGGACCAAGGAGUCUAACAUCUAUGCGAGUGUUUGGGUGUCAAGCCCGAGCGCGCAAUGAAAGUGAACGGAGGUGGGAACCCUUUGGGUGCACCAUCGACCGAUCCUGAUGUCUUCGGAUGGAUUUGAGUAAGAGCAUAGCUGUUGGGACCCGAAAGAUGGUGAACUAUGCUUGAAUAGGGUGAAGCCAGAGGAAACUCUGGUGGAGGCUCGCAGCGGUUCUGACGUGCAAAUCGAUCGUCAAAUUUGGGCAUAGGGGCGAAAGACUAAUCGAACCAUCUAGUAGCUGGUUCCUGCCGAAGUUUCCCUCAGGAUAGCAGUAACGUUUUCAGUUUUAUGAGGUAAAGCGAAUGAUUAGAGGCAUGGGGGCUGAAACAGCCUUCACCUAUUCUCAAACUUUAAAUAUGUAAGAAGUCCUUGUUACUUGAUUGAACGUGGACAUUUGAAUGUAUCGUUACUAGUGGGCCAUUUUUGGUAAGCAGAACUGGCGAUGCGGGAUGAACCGAACGCGGAGUUACGGUGCCGGAAUACACGCUCAUCAGACACCACAAAAGGUGUUAGUUCAUCUAGACAGCAGGACGGUGGCC